RNAcentral lists this transfer RNA (73 nucleotides) under Candidatus Berkelbacteria bacterium. RNAcentral's name for it is "tRNA-Arg". It matches the Rfam family "tRNA". From Rfam's summary of the family: Transfer RNA (tRNA) molecules are approximately 80 nucleotides in length. Their secondary structure includes four short double-helical elements and three loops (D, anti-codon, and T loops). The record is from RNAcentral. Lineage: Bacteria; Candidatus Berkelbacteria.
GUCCCCGUAGUUCAAUGGAUAGAACGCGAGAUUCCGGAUCUCGAAGUUGAGCGUUCGAAUCGCUCCGGGGACA